UGUGCUUGGUGGGAGUGCUCAGUUUGCUUCAGCUUAUUGCUGCUUCUAGGAGGGCUUCUCCUUUCUGUCUCUGGGCAGGCUCUGCUCUGAUGCAGCAGUGGAUGGGGCAGCCAGGAUGGUGUGGGGCAGGAUCCAGUGCUACAACACAAGCCACAUCUCCUUCGUCACCAGAUCCUUUCCUCAAAGCAAGAGCUCUCCUCGUGUGCAGAAAGGGACCCACUUCAUCUGCUCACCGUGCAGUCAGGACACCAUGGGGUGUGGGAUGGACCCAUCCUGACCACCUGCAGCUGCUGGAGGAGGACAGAAACCACUGCGCCUGAUUGGCCCCGUGCACGCUGGGAACCACGGGAGGACGCAUGGCCUGCUGCCCAUCUGAAAUCCCGAACCGACUUCUUCUUUUCUUUCCCCACAAUAGAAGACAAAAAAACUCAAUUUUCAAGAAGUGCAUCAAGCCCUUAAUUGGGAUUUUAAUUCCUAAAUGGCAGUGGGUACAGCACAGCCUGGCUCCCCAGCUAAUGCAUCCGUGUUAUUAGAGAGCAGAUACCCUGUGAAUGGAGGAGGCCGCAGCAUUUGCAUAGCAAUGAGUGCUCUGGCAGCACGGGAACCGAGGUUGAUUUUCUUUUGCAGCUAAAAGCAGACCUGAGUGGUACUUAUUAAUUUGAGUCCACCUCUGAAUACACUUAACGAUUCAAGUCCAAUUAGUUUUCAGAGUGCCCAGGUAGGAAGUAAUCAUUAAAAACAUGUAAAUUAAGUUACUGGGGAGCUUAAUAGAUUAGUCAUUGACUUUGUAGCUUAUGUUGGCUCUUAACCUUCAGCUGAAAUUAAUCACCGACCAUUUCUCUGAACGGGUGCAGAAGGUCAGGCCCAGGGGCAUGGCACUGCAUGGACGGGAGCAGUUCUGGGGGGGCAGGAGGGGGUGGGGAACCUCCCUGCCAUGUCCCCCAGUGCCCCCUCCUCAGACACAGGCUGCAGACACUUCAGCUGUGGGCAGAGAGGAGCUGAGCUGGGGGCUGUCUGCCUGGGGGGCUUUGUCCCCAUAGCGUUUUGCUCUUCUGCAGCAUUGCAGAAGCAUUGCAGUCCAUUCAGUGGUCAUUACUGCGUUAACUUCUGCGCCGCGACGUCUAUUAUGAACGAGUACGAUGGGGAUUAAUCACUGAUAACUGCAAGCCUCGGUGCUUUCCCACCAACCUCUCUUUUGCUGGGCUGUUUUUCCCUCUGUGUAUCGCUACAUGAAGGGAAAACAUGUGCUAUUAUCAGUAAUAGCAUGCUCCCCAUCCCGGCCAGCUGAAUAAAUGAACCUGUUACAGCUGGAAUUAAUAAGAGUUAAUUGGAAAUCAUUAGGAGGCUCCGAGCCGAAGUGGGGUCUCCUGGGGCAGCAUGAGCCCCCGCUCUGCCCCAUGUCACCACCCCGUGUCACAGUGCACGGCGGAGGGGAGGAAGGAGGAAAUCUCUUCGAAGCAGAGAUCAGGCUGCGAGCGUUUGAAAAAGCUAUUUCUAAAAUUGCAAUUACCAGGAAAGAGAACAAAUUACCACUUCAGGGACGGUCGCACAUGGAGAAUCAGAGCUGUGGGAAAUAAUCAGAAGAAUGUAUUCACAGAAGUGCAUUAUUUAUAUUGAAACAUUUAAAAGUAAAGGUCACGAGGAGAAGCUGAAGAUUAGUAAUAGGGAAGUGGAAGGAUCACUUUAUGGCUAUAAUGAUUAUGGUCCGUUUUGAUUAUGGCCACAUUAGUCACGAUGCCUUAUAAGUCAGCGUGGAUUAGUGCUGGGGUAUCGGUGCUCAGGAGAUGGCGAGGUGAUGUGUCCUCCUGCUCCAUGUGCUGGGUUGCCAUCCAGCAAUGGCAGAGCCAGGGGCCGGGUGGCUGAGUUACACCAUGGGACUGACCCUAAAGAGUCCCCCGCAUCCUCUGCCUUUGGUCUCAAGGAGCUGGAUUCGCCCUGACAAAAUAUUUGCGGUUCGUAAGCGGUGGAAAUGAAUAGGAUUGAUUUACUGUGGCUGCAUCUCGAAGCAUGAAGUGGCACUUUUACGCUCGCAUCACCCCGUAGACAUCUGAAGGCAUCAGCGCGGCCCAUUGCGUUGCUGACGAGCUACAAAAGGCUGGGAAGGAGCCAUUCGACAUGCCCAAUCCGGGAGGUAUGACCGUGUGCUGCAAGUAAUGCAAAUGCAUCUAAAGCGUUCAAUCUGCUCGUUUCAGGCCCCAUUUUCUGCUGGAGUUGUGUCAAUGCGCUGCCGCAGAGCUAACAAGUGUUGCUCUGUAACUUCUUCAUGUCUCAGCUGUUGGAGAAGCACGUCCCGGCCAAACCAAGCCAUCUCCCUCCCUCUAUCCCGGGGCUCCCCUCAUUCCUCGCUGCAACUGCUUGCAGUUUUUAAUGGUAUGAAUCUGUCACUGAGUCCAGAAGGGGAAGAGCCCAGCUGUGUUUCUGCACCACCAUGGCCCCGUGUUGAGUGGCACCAGCACUGAUUUAUUAAUGAUGAGAUCCCACCGGCUCCCGGCUAUUGACAAAUGGCCGCAAUUACAGCCCCUUACGCCCCCUCCCCACAAUCGAUACCUUUUAAUCAAAUCCAAUCAGACUGAAUUUAAUUAAGGACAGCAGCAGAAAUAACUCUGAAGUGAAGGAACGGGAGUGAGCUGUGCCGGGAGGAGCAGCCGCAGAUCUGCAGCCAUGCAACUCCUCCCUGCGUGCAGAAGGUGAGCACUGGGGAGGAAGCUUCCCACCUCUCCCCAAGGUUUUUCCCGUUCCCAUGCAAACCAGCACUGCCAGCCUGCAUAGAACUAUUUUGGAAUACUCCUUAUCAUCGCUUCCACGCUCUCCUCUAACGCGUCCGUCGUGUUUACGCCGUUUCCGCAUUGUUCCUUGUGGCUCGCUCUAUUUAGCUGCUCAUGCUUCCACUAAGUUUCAGAGCUAUUUCUGAGUAUGAAUUAUUCUCUGACAUAAUUUUGCAGCAAUGGUUAUAUUUAGAGAGCUCUUCCAUUGGGCGAGGCUUUCUCAUUUUCCGUUUCGUUGGGUGAGCUCCUCUGAUUUCUGUAUUCCACAUUUCAGGCUUCAGCUGAUGUGCGCUAACUAAUUACACCAUGGGACGCCAGGCGAGGCAGGGCUCACGCUCCCUCUGUUUUUCGAGGUGAUAUUUAUUUGUGAUAAUGUGAAAGGCAGCAGUGGAGAGACACAUUCUCACGAGCGUGUGCAUGAUGACAACUGUAUUGACUUGCUCUAGAUAUAGGCUACAAAAGAGGUCUUCAUCAUGAAAAGAGAAGGGAUGUUGCAGAGGACUGUGCUCUGCACCCCAGCAGAGCCCUGGGGCUUUGAUGUCCCCAGGUGCACGUGGUGUUCCCUCCCCAGUUCUGAGCUCUGCUGCCUGCUCUGCCUGCCCGGGGGAGAGCCGACAAGCAAAGCCAGGUGCAGAGCGCUGUGUUCCUCCUCUGUGCAUCUU
Numida meleagris (helmeted guineafowl) is the source of this 3427-nucleotide long non-coding RNA. RefSeq lists it as uncharacterized. NCBI's taxonomy places the organism in Eukaryota, Metazoa, Chordata, Aves, Galliformes, Numididae. The record is from RefSeq and is a predicted model, not a curated record. The transcript has 2 exons.